This 340-nucleotide unclassified non-coding RNA is filed under the name soil metagenome. Its description in RNAcentral is "partial contains 5.8S ribosomal RNA, internal transcribed spacer 2, and large subunit ribosomal RNA". The stretch from base 1 to 120 matches the Rfam family "5.8S ribosomal RNA", at positions 35 to 154 of the family's 154-position model. The record is from RNAcentral.
GAUGAAGAACGUAGUGAAAUGCGAUAAGUAGUGUGAAUUGCAGAAUUCAGUGAAUCAUCGAAUCUUUGAACGCACAUUGCGCCCUUUGGUAUUCCAAAGGGCAUGCCUGUUCGAGCGUCAUUUGUACCCUCAAGCUUUGCUUGGUGUUGGGCGUCUUGUCUCUAGCUUUGCUGGAGACUCGCCUUAAAGUAAUUGGCAGCCGGCCUACUGGUUUCGGAGCGCAGCACAAGUCGCACUCUCUAUCAGCAAAGGUCUAGCAUCCAUUAAGCCUUUUUUUCAACUUUUGACCUCGGAUCAGGUAGGGAUACCCGCUGAACUUAAGCAUAUCAUAAGCGGAGGA